Molecule: ribosomal RNA, 429 nt
Filed under: Actinomycetes bacterium
Lineage: Bacteria; Bacillati; Actinomycetota; Actinomycetes
Description: Actinobacteria bacterium partial 16S ribosomal RNA
Rfam family: Bacterial small subunit ribosomal RNA
Source: RNAcentral
UAGGGAAUCUUCCGCAAUGGGCGAAAGCCUGACGGAGCAACGCCGCGUGAGUGAUGAAGGUCUUCGGAUCGUAAAACUCUGUUAUUAGGGAAGAACAAAUGUGUAAGUAACUAUGCACGUCUUGACGGUACCUAAUCAGAAAGCCACGGCUAACUACGUGCCAGCAGCCGCGGUAAUACGUAGGUGGCAAGCGUUAUCCGGAAUUAUUGGGCGUAAAGCGCGCGUAGGCGGUUUUUUAAGUCUGAUGUGAAAGCCCACGGCUCAACCGUGGAGGGUCAUUGGAAACUGGAACACUUGAGUGCAGAAGAGGAAAGUGGAAUUCCAUGUGUAGCGGUGAAAUGCGCAGAGCUAUGGAGGAACACCAGUGGCGAAGGCGACUUUCUGGUCUGUAACUGACGCUGCUGUGCGAAAGCGUGGGGAUCAAACAGG